CCCUUAGAUGUUCUGGGCUGCACGCGCGCUACACUGAUGCGUUCAACGAGUUUUUGACCUUGCCUGACACGGUUGGGUAAUCUUGUUAAAACGCAUCGUGAUGGGGAUAGAUUAUUGCAAUUAUUGAUCUUCAACGAGGAAUUCCUAGUAAGCGUGAGUCAUCAGCUCGUGCUGAUUACGUCCCUGCCCUUUGUACACACCGCCCGUCGCACCUACCGAUUGAAUGGUCCGGUGAAGCCUCCGGAUUGGCGCGCACCUCGGUGCCGCCGAGAAGUUGGCUAAACCUUACCAUUUAGAGGAAGGUGAAGUCGUAACA
Molecule: ribosomal RNA, 316 nt
Filed under: uncultured eukaryote
Lineage: Eukaryota
Description: partial 18S ribosomal RNA
Rfam family: Eukaryotic small subunit ribosomal RNA
Source: RNAcentral